This 512-nucleotide ribosomal RNA is filed under the name uncultured bacterium. RNAcentral describes it as "bacterial SSU rRNA". It matches the Rfam family "Bacterial small subunit ribosomal RNA", at positions 28 to 508 of the family's 1533-position model. The record is from RNAcentral.
GACGAACGCUGGCGGCGUGCCUAAUACAUGCAAGUCGAGCGCGGGAAGCAAACUGAAGUCUUCGGACGGACGUUUGUGGAACGAGCGGCGGAUGGGUGAGUAACACGUGGGCAACCUGCCUGUAAGCUUGGGAUAACUCGCGGAAACGCGUGCUAAUACCAAAUAAAGUCCACUACCUCAUGGUAGUGGAAUGAAAGGCGGCUUCGGCUGUCACUUACAGAUGGGCCCGUGGCGCAUUAGCUAGUUGGUGGGAUAAAAGCUCACCAAGGCAACGAUGCGUAGCCGACCUGAGAGGGUGAUCGGCCACACUGGGACUGAGACACGGCCCAGACUCCUACGGGAGGCAGCAGUAGGGAAUCUUCCGCAAUGGACGAAAGUCUGACGGAGCAACGCCGCGUGAGUGAUGAAGGUCUUCGGAUCGUAAAACUCUGUUGUUAGGGAAGAACAAGUACCGUUCGAAUAGGUCGGUACCUUGACGGUACCUAACCAGAAAGCCCCGGCUAACUACGUGC